GGAAACAAAGAUGGAAGAUGACUCUGUCUAUGCGAAGGUGUCCAACCCAACGCGAGUUAAAAAGAAUUAAACCAGAGAGCCUACGGGACUAUGAUGACGUGAGAUUCACAGCGACGCCCCGACGUCAGACGACCAACAGAGACUCCAGCAGCUCACACCAAGAUGAGAGUUAAUACUCUGAUGUCAGGAUUUGACCCGAGAUGUUCUCGUCCUGCUUUUUACAGCUACCUCGGGCCUGAGGAAGUUUAUAUUCACAAUAACUCAUCACUGAGAGUCUGAAGAGUUCAUGUGUUAAUUAAAAUAGGUCGUAGCUGUAAAUCUACAGUAAUGUAAUCUGGUCAACAAACCUUUUGCAGCUACAACAAAACCCUGCAUGUUGCCAUUAGGAGUAUUUUAAUACUAGUUAUCAAGAAGGUACAGAAGUUACAUUACUGAGCUUAAAUGGAUAAAUAUUUGAAACUGUUAAUUAAAGGUUUUGGUGAAAAUAGGGAACAUAGCAAAAUGUGAGGGAUAAACGGUUGAAAUCCUUCUUUUGCAACUUAAAUGUAUAUA
Molecule: long non-coding RNA, 552 nt
Organism: Limanda limanda (common dab)
Lineage: Eukaryota; Metazoa; Chordata; Actinopteri; Pleuronectiformes; Pleuronectidae
Exons: 3
Source: RefSeq, a predicted model, not a curated record